ACCACGUUCCAGCAUUGCAAUUUCUUCCUUGCAACCUUUAUUGCAAUGUGUCUGCCCCUGAUUGUGCUACAUCAGCACUUGCAGAUUAGAAAGAGCAAUUCCUAAGAAAAUGAAAGGAGUUGAUUCUUCCCAGUCUGCUGGUUACUCAGGGAAGGAAUAGGCCUGCCUCAAGAGACAAAAAGGCCAUUGGUCAAUCGCAUGUUCCUUAGAGCCACGCUGUUGUCAGAUCCUUGGAAAAAUGUGUUUGAUCUUCUGUCCUUUAACUGGAUACCUGUGCCAAGGCUAAAUUUGUAAAUUUUUUUUUUUUUUUUUUUAAUGCUUGAAGAUUGAAAGGCUUUUAAGACUGGACUGUUUGGAAUGCAGCACAAUUUAGGGUGAAAGUGUUGAAAUAUAUCCCUUACGUACACAACGCUGGUUCUUCGGGGGUUAAAAUUAGCCCUUGAGGAGAAGGAUACAAUGAUUACAGAUGUUGAAAACAGUUUUGUAUUAUAAAAUCAAUAGAAAUAUGCCAAAAUAUUUGAAGGUGAGGAGGGACAGGAAGUGGGGUGUGAGAAUUAGCCAUGUAAGAAUGAUGAUUACUGUAUGAUAUAUAUUUUGCAUUAGAUCAAAAGGGUUUGAAGUGAUUGUACUCCCUUUAAAUAGCUUUGCUGUGCCAGAGUAAGGAAGAGCUCCUGCUACAGGGAGUUUACAGAUUAAGUAGACAGGAUGAGCAAGGGAUGGUUUAAGGGAAAAGAAAAACGUUAUUCUUGUUUUACACAUGGGGCAAUGAGGCAUUGUAAGAUUGACAUGAUUCUCUGGAGAAAGAAAUUUUUAAACUUAAAUGGUCCUAAAGUCUGCAUUUUUGCAUAUGUCAAAAAUCGCAGCAAAGAUACUCUAUAAAAAUUUGCAGAACAGUUCAUCUUUUAAAAAUAAGAAAAUAGUAGGAUCCAUCUAGAAAGAUUUUUUUAAGACAUUGCCAAUCUACUAUAGCAAGUAUUUCAGGAUUACAUAAAAGUGCAUCCACAUUAAAAUAUGUCCAAUAACAUAUCAUCCUGAUUCAGUUGAAUAGGUUACAGUGUUCUGCACAUUAUAUUCUUACAUUAAAGCAAAAAAUAAUUGUAGAAAAAAUCAAAUCAACCUUGAAGAUGGCCACCCCAUGUGUUCGUAGUGGCUAAAAUAAUCAGUGCAAUUGUAGAAGCAAUGCUGCGGGGGCUUAUUUUCAUACAGAGUGCUGAAAGUUUCUGAUAAGGGUGGAUAACUAACAAACAUAUUUUGCCAAUUCUAUUUAGUGGCACUCUGCAGCUCAAAGAUUGAAAGACAGUUGUUAUCAGCUGUCUCAGGAUCAGGCUCUGAAAGAGAUGGAACAUGGUGGAUUCAAGGUCAGAUUCACAUUCUGUCAAUAUGUGUGAAAUGAUUCUUUGCUAGGGAUGGCAGUCAAAAGGGUUCAAGCCUUCCUGGCACUAAUGUUCUGAAAAAUUGCAGUUAGUAAGAAGAAAGGGAGUCUACCUGUUAUGCUAAGGGCAGACUUACCAAGAUCUCUCUCCUUUUCUGGCUCGCAUUUGAGCUAACUUUUAGUCCAUGACAUUUUUCAGAGGGCAAUUUAUUCCUUUGAUUCUGUCACGCAGAGUUCAGAUUUAUUUUCAGACUCGCUGUUCACCCUAUUCUACCAUUGUCAAACAGUGUCUCAUAUUGACAAGAUGUUCCUCCUCCAUCGCAUUAUUUCUGUUGCUGUUCUCUGCCACUCUCGGUUCGUAUGUAUGCCUGUUUCUUUGUUCCUCCUGCACUUCAAGUCAUUUGUCCUAGCCCACAGGCAGGUUUCUGCCCGUCUGCUUGUCCACAGCUGGGCAACCUUCAACCUUCAACCAGUCAGUUCUUCUCCCUGCUCUUUUCUGCGCAUGUUCCUCUGGCUCUCACUGUGAGAGAACCCCGUAACUCUGGUUUUCAUUUCCACCAUAAGUUGCCUACUCACUGGAUGCUGAGCUCAGUAGCGUGGGAUUCUCUGUUACUUGGAAAUUCACCUAUAGUCUUGUACUAGUUUUGGCAGGGAUGGAGUUUAUUUUCUUCAUAGUAGCUCCUGUGGUGCUGUGCUUUGGAUUUGUGAUCAAAACAGUGCUGAUUACAGAGGGAUGUUUUUGUUAUUGCUGAUCAGUGCUUACACAGUGUCAAGGUGUUUUCUACUUCUCACAGUCUCCCACCAGCGAGCAGGCAGGGGGCGCACAAGAAGUUGGGAGGGGACACAGCUGGGACAGCUGACCCCAACUGCCCCAAGGGAUAUCCCACACCAUAUGACAUCAUGCUGAGCAAGGACAGCUGAGGAAGAACGAGGAAGGGUGGGACGUUUGUCUUCCCAAGUCACCAUUAAACAUGAUGGAGCCCUGCUUUGAUGGAGCCCUGCUUUUCUGGAGAUGGCUGGACACCUGCCUGCCAAUGAGAAAUGAAGCUGUCCUUGAGAGAAACCCUGGGCCACUUCCUUGAGAAACUUUAAGAAGUCUGAAUUUGAGAACUUUUUCAUCCAGUGUCUCUCAGCUGCCAACCACAAGGACCAGAAUGAUGAGCUGGGGGAAGUCUGAGCCAGAGAUGACAGAAGGAGAGCUAAUAUAUUGGCACAAGGUCUUUGUAAUGGGUCCAUUAUACUCCUGUGACGGCAGAUUGCCCUCUCAAGAGAUUCGCCCUCAGCAGAUAGCAGGGUAUGGAAACGCAUGUUCACAUCUUCAGAGAUGAGAAACAGCAUGCGUCAUGACCAGCGGAUAUUUCAUAUUGGCAAAGAAUGAUUUUAUGUCAGGUUGGAAGCUGCUAGAUGCUAUGAAUGGCAACGACGGUGCCAGCUAUCCCUUCAGAACAAAAACAAAAACAAAAAAAACCAAAACAAACAAAAAAAGGAAAUGCAUACACACCAUGUCAGAAACACUUAAAACAUUCUGGUUACACAUGUAAUUGAAGUGAAAGGCACCUCACACCUGCUGUUCAGUUGAGAGAUAAACCACAAGAUAACUAUGACGUGGCAGAAUGUGAUAACACAUGGAAAGCCUUUACUUCAAAAUGUUGUAGUUCAUGUUGCUUGCUUUGUAAACUCCUUGAUGACAGAGAGUGUGAUUUGAUGGAGGCAUUAUAUAAUCUUUGACUUGGGUGAAAUAUCUGGCUUUUUUGAAACAUCUAGUCAAGGAUUUGGAUGAAUCACUCAGAUGUCCUGUUCAGACUUUUUUUUAACCUGAGCAGGAAAAUAAAUGUGCUUCCAAAACUUCUGUGAUGAAGUACAAAGAAAGGGUCUUUGCAAAUGUAGGUAAGAAAGCUGGUGAGGACUCUGCUCUGUACUUGACUGAGUCCAGAGAGGAGAGUUUGCAUUAAAUAAAUGUAUGUGCAUGGUCAUAAUUAAUAUUAUUUUUGUAACUAUUAUACUUGUUACAUUCAUUAUAAUAUUUUUAAGUUUACUAAUAGAUGUAUUACUCUAGAUAUAUUUACCAAGAAUUCCUGUUUGUUAAGAAUUUAAGUACUGUGCAGUUUUAUGGGGGAAAUAAAGCUUAAAAGCAGCUGGGGAAAAGUGAAAUGAAUAUGGAUUUUUUUCAUCACAGUUUGACCCAGGUUACCUCAUCCGUGGAAUUUACAGAGGACGCAGAUGUCACAACUGACUAAGACUUCAGUUCAAACUAUCUCAGAAUGCUGGAUCAAGUCUUUCAUGAAACCACAGUCCGACAUGUGGGACUACAUGCUGUGGUUGGCAGUUUACUACAUGGUGUUCCAGGGCAGAAAGACGAAUCCAGGACUUCCUAUCUUUCACUGCUUGUAAUUUGCAUGUCUGCGAGUUUGAGAGGAGACCCCAUGUGAUUCUGAAUUGUGCAUUUCUAUGCUCUUUUGCAAUUCUACUUCUGAUGUAGCUGCAGUACUAAAGAAAGGUUUUUGGAAUAAGGUUUAGUGCCCCCUCCUGCACAAUUAACGUAUGGACCUGGACCUGGUUCACGGUCUGUGGAGGUGAGUGGGUAGAGUCCCAGUGACUUCAGUGAAUAUUGUAAUUUGGUUCAGGGAAGUAAUGGAUACUGUACUUGCCUUUGCAGGAUUGAAAGCAAUAUGCUGUAGUCAGUGAACUCCUAUUAGUUUACAUAUGCAUACAGAAAAUGUACAAGUAUUUGAAGUUAAGAGCAGUGUUCACUUUUUCCCUUCCUGAAAGUCUUUCUUGAUGUCUUAGAGAAAAUUUUCAAUCAAAAAUGAAAUUAAUGAGUCUUACUGGAGAGGUCAUUUUAAGCAAUACAUGCAUUUUACACGUAUUUUUAAGUGAGCAAGAUCUUUUUCAUUUACAUAAAUUUCUCUGUUAUUCAUGUCGUUGUUUCCACUCACAGUGAAGACAAUACAGCCUUCCAGUUCAGACCUAAUUUUCAGAAAAAAAUUCAGGCAUAGCAACAUCAAAUCUAGUCAUGUAAUCAUCAUGCUCUGCAACAUUACUACUUUAGGGACAGUGAAGUUUAUAAAUCCACAAAACUUAGUAGAAAAAAACAGUGUAUUUUUAAAAGGGAAAUGCUGUUUAGAAGAAUAAUGAUUAAGUGAGAUUGAAAUGAUAGUACUCUUAACAAAACAAUUUACUGAAACAUUUUGAAAUGGAAAUGCCAGCAGGCAAUUUGUUUUGUUUUGAAAUAGGCUUCAACAUUGCAUUCUGCCACUGUGAUGGUAGGAUGAGGGAGGCAUGUAUACAAACACUUGCAUAUAUACAGGUAAAUAAAUACACGCACUCACACAUCUAUAUAUGCUCUAUGUGUGCAUACAUUUUUGCAUAGAGAUAAUUAUUUCCUUUGUAUUAUUUAUGUUCAACUCUUUAAACUUGAUACCUAUUGUAGCAGCAACUGUCUUAGAGUCUCACAGCAAUUGCAUAGUG
This is a long non-coding RNA of Athene cunicularia (burrowing owl), 4840 nucleotides long. RefSeq lists it as uncharacterized. The transcript has 4 exons. NCBI's taxonomy places the organism in Eukaryota, Metazoa, Chordata, Aves, Strigiformes, Strigidae. The record is from RefSeq and is a predicted model, not a curated record.